Molecule: long non-coding RNA, 914 nt
Organism: Passer domesticus (house sparrow)
Lineage: Eukaryota; Metazoa; Chordata; Aves; Passeriformes; Passeridae
Exons: 3
Source: RefSeq, a predicted model, not a curated record
GGGAGGAGAAGGCACCCCAAAUCUCCCAGACAAACGUAGCAGCCAAAUAGAACUGUAGUCAGCCUUAGAGUGCCAAAGUGAAACAAGGAACCCGGGCUGCAGGUGCUUUUGGGUAUGUAAAGCAACAGGAGCUUUGAAGAUACUGUGAGGAAAACAGCAUGGAGCAUAGAGAGUAUUUAAGUUCAUGAUUUUUGGAUUGUGGGUUUGGGAGUGGUGCCACUCACAAUAACACGCUUGGACUCAGUGUGAAGCCAGAGACUCAAGGACCUAGGCACACUCAGGAGAGGACAAGUAGCCGACUUGCUGGGAGUUGGCCCAUAUAACACAAAGCUCAUAUGUUGUUUUUGGUUUACUUUAUUGCAGCUGACUGAGAGGUUAACAGGCAAUUGUGGCAGAGGUGCUCUGAGGCAUACUCAUUUCAGGUCCAGCAUGGACUCACAUCACCGGUCAUCCAAAAGAUAAGUUGGGGGCCACCGCCUGGAGAUGGGAUGAUAGGAGAGUAGUGGGUUGGAAAUUCCUGGGACAGAUUUAAAAAUUAGCAGGGGGAAAAGCAAUGCCCUCUCAAGACACCCAAAAGGAGAGGCUCUACCUUUGCUAACAGCUGCAGGGUGCGCAGUGCAGAACAGUUCCAGUCUGUGUUGUGUUGUCCGGUGUAUACUGUGUUACCUAGUGUGUCUUUGGGGUCCCUCGGAUCAGAUAUCUCUGCCUCUUUCCCCUCGAGGCCCUUACCACAAGCAUCAGCCGUAGGUUCUUGAACGCUCGCACUUCUCUGCAUGAUGCCGAUAUCAUUUGUUCUUUUACUGGCGGGCUCGGCCGUGUUUCCGAGUCACAUCGCAGAAGCGUCGAGUAGGACAUGUUCUGAGGCCUUGCUCCCAGCCAUAUCACCAUCCAUCUUUUCUAGCCAUGGGCUGUAA